RNAcentral lists this ribosomal RNA (253 nucleotides) under uncultured bacterium. Its description in RNAcentral is "partial 16S ribosomal RNA". It matches the Rfam family "Bacterial small subunit ribosomal RNA", at positions 524 to 776 of the family's 1533-position model. The record is from RNAcentral.
UACGUAGGGUGCGAGCGUUGUCCGGAAUUAUUGGGCGUAAAGAGCUUGUAGGCGGUCUGUCGCGUCUGCUGUGAAAACCCGGGGCUCAACCCCGGACUUGCAGUGGGUACGGGCAGGCUAGAGUGUGGUAGGGGAGACUGGAAUUCCUGGUGUAGCGGUGAAAUGCGCAGAUAUCAGGAGGAACACCGAUGGCGAAGGCAGGUCUCUGGGCCAGUACUGACGCUGAGAAGCGAAAGCAUGGGGAGCGAACAGG